Molecule: small RNA, 611 nt
Filed under: Pan troglodytes (chimpanzee)
Lineage: Eukaryota; Metazoa; Chordata; Mammalia; Primates; Hominidae
Description: sense intronic
Source: RNAcentral
ACAGGAUAGCCUUCUGCCUGAGCCUUUGUACUGUGACAGCGUCAGCCCCCAGCGUCCGCGCCACUCAGCCCCACCAGGGGUCCCCGCCUCCCACAUCACGUGCCUCUUCCUGGAGCUGACCCGUUGGCUGGGGACCACUCUCUCAUGUGACAGUCUGUGCAGGGCAGGCUGCGUGUCCUCCCGUCCACGCUCCCUCAGCAUGUUCCUUGUGCUGCCGGAUACUGGGAAACUGCAUCCACCACUUUGUCCCCAGCUCCCAGUGUAAAUGCUCUCACCGAACUGUGGUGAGAUGUCAUCCACUUUGUCCCCAGCUCCCCGUGUAAACGCUUUCACCAAACCGUGAUGAGAUGUCACGUCCAUGGCCUUCAUCACCGGCCAGCUUUUUAAUGGCAUUUGAGAAAUGUCCUUCCAUCAUCACAGCUGCAGUGGAGGAUGCCUUUACUCGGUAUCCCAGUAUGUGCAUCCACGGUCCUUGGGUUUGAUGGUCAGAAAAGGGCUUCCCUUCAAAUUGGGCUCCUGUUUUCUGACAGAAUAUGAGAUCCUAUUCUAAUUCUCGUUUUGCCCCAAUUCUUAAGAAGCUUAAGCAAGUACUUAUUAAAACGUUAUCCCAA